GUGGACCGGCGCCGCGCCUCCAGAUCUGCAUCGGAAUGCAGAAAAGAUCUUUUUUUUUUUCUUGAAAAAAAAAAAAAAGUUUUGAAUUCCUCAAUGAUUUUUUCUUCUGGAAAGGCAGCUUAGGAUAAUUAUUUCAGCUUUAUUGAGGGCAGAUUAGUUGAAGUCUGAGCGCUGCGUUUCAAUACGCGUUGUACACGGGCCGACAAUGUGG
This 211-nucleotide long non-coding RNA is filed under the name Chinchilla lanigera (long-tailed chinchilla). RNAcentral's name for it is "Six3os1 conserved region 7 (ENSCLAG00000020535.1)". It matches the Rfam family "Six3os1 conserved region 7". Lineage: Eukaryota; Metazoa; Chordata; Mammalia; Rodentia; Chinchillidae. The record is from RNAcentral.